GACGAACGCUGGCGGCGUGCUUAACACAUGCAAGUCGAACGGAAAGGCCCUGCUUUUGUGGUGUGCUCGAGUGGCGAACGGGUGAGUAACACGUGAGUAACCUGCCCUUGACUUUGGUAUAACUUCAGGAAACUGGGGCUAAUACCGGAUAGGAUCUCCUGCUGCAUGGUGGGGGUUGGAAAUUUUCGGCGGUUGGGGAUGGACUCGCGGCUUAUCAGCUUGUUGGUGGGGUAGUGGCUUACCAAGGCUUUGAAGGGUAGCCGGCCUGAGAGGGUGACCGGCGACAUGGGGACUGAGAGACGGCCCAGACUCCUACGGGAGGCAGCAGGGGGGAAUAUUGAACAAUGGGCGGAAGCCUGAGGAAGCAACGCCGCGUGCGGGAUGACGGCCUUCGGGGUGUAAACCGCUUUAGCCUGUGACGAAGCGUGAGUGACGGUAAUGGGUAAAGAAGCACCGGCUAACUACGUG
RNAcentral lists this ribosomal RNA (468 nucleotides) under uncultured bacterium. RNAcentral describes it as "partial 16S ribosomal RNA". It matches the Rfam family "Bacterial small subunit ribosomal RNA", at positions 28 to 507 of the family's 1533-position model. The record is from RNAcentral.